GUUUGAUCCUGGCUCAGAUUGAACGCUGGCGGCAUGCCUUACACAUGCAAGUCGAACGGCAGCGCGUCCUUCGGGAUGGCGGCGAGUGGCGAACGGGUGAGUAAAGCAUCGGAACGUGCCCGGUAGUGCGGGAUAGCUCGGCGAAAGCCGGAUUAAUACCGCAUGAGAUCCGUGGAUGAAAGCAGGGGACCCCUUGUGGGCCUUGCGCUACUGGAGCGGCCGAUGUCAGAUUAGGUAGUUGGUGGGGUAAAGGCCCACCAAGCCUGCGAUCUGUAGCUGGUCUGAGAGGAUGAUCAGCCACAUCGGGACUGAGACACGGCCCGAACUCCUACGGGAGGCAGCAGUGGGGAAUUUUGGACAAUGGGCGCAAGCCUGAUCCAGCCAUGCCGCGUGCAGGAUGAAGGCCCUCGGGUUGUAAACUGCUUUUGUACGGAACGAAAAGCCUCUUUCUAAUAAAGAGGGGUGAUGACGGUACCGUAAGAAUAAGCACCGGCUAACUACGUGCCAGCAGCCGCGGUAAUACGUAGGGUGCGAGCGUUAAUCGGAAUUACUGGGCGUAAAGCGUGCGCAGGCGGUCUUGCAAGACAGUGGUGAAAUCCCCGGGCUCAACCUGGGAACGGCCAUUGUGACUGCAAGGCUGGAGUACGGCAGAGGAGGGUGGAAUUCCGCGUGUAGCAGUGAAAUGCGUAGAUAUGCGGAGGAACACCGAUGGCGAAGGCAGCCCCCUGGGCCUGUACUACGCU
This 743-nucleotide ribosomal RNA is filed under the name uncultured bacterium. RNAcentral's name for it is "bacterial SSU rRNA". It matches the Rfam family "Bacterial small subunit ribosomal RNA", at positions 11 to 747 of the family's 1533-position model. The record is from RNAcentral.